AUUGAACGCUGGCGGCACGCUUAACACAUGCAAGUCGAACGGCAGCAUGAGUAGGGGUAACCUUACUUGAUGGCGAGUGGCGGACGGGUGAGUAAUAUGUAGGAAUCUACCUAGAGGAGGGGGAUAACUUGGGGAAACUCAAGCUAAUACCACAUAAGCCCUACGGGGGAAAGCAGGGGAUCGAAAGACCUUGUGCCUUAUGAUGAGCCUACAUCGGAUUAGCUAGUUGGUGGGGUAAAGGCCUACCAAGGCGACGAUCCGUAGCUGGUCUGAGAGGAUGAUCAGCCACACUGGGACUGAGACACGGCCCAGACUCCUACGGGAGGCAGCAGUGGGGAAUAUUGGACAAUGGGCGAAAGCCUGAUCCAGCAAUGCCGCGUGUGUGAAGAAGGCCUUAGGGUUGUAAAGCACUUUCAGUGGGGAGGAAGGGUGUAAUGCUAAUACCAUUGCACAUUGACGUUACCUACAGAAGAAGCACCGGCUAACUCUGUGCCAGCAGCCGCCGUAA
RNAcentral lists this ribosomal RNA (508 nucleotides) under uncultured bacterium. RNAcentral describes it as "partial 16S ribosomal RNA". It matches the Rfam family "Bacterial small subunit ribosomal RNA", at positions 30 to 523 of the family's 1533-position model. The record is from RNAcentral.